AUUGAACGCUGGCGGCAGGCUUAACACAUGCAAGUCGAGCGGAUGAAGGGAGCUUGCUCCUGGAUUCAGCGGCGGACGGGUGAGUAAUGCCUAGGAAUCUGCCUGGUAGUGGGGGAUAACGUCCGGAAACGGGCGCUAAUACCGCAUACGUCCUGAGGGAGAAAGUGGGGGAUCUUCGGACCUCACGCUAUCAGAUGAGCCUAGGUCGGAUUAGCUAGUUGGUGGGGUAAAGGCCUACCAAGGCGACGAUCCGUAACUGGUCUGAGAGGAUGAUCAGUCACACUGGAACUGAGACACGGUCCAGACUCCUACGGGAGGCAGCAGUGGGGAAUAUUGGACAAUGGGCGAAAGCCUGAUCCAGCCAUGCCGCGUGUGUGAAGAAGGUCUUCGGAUUGUAAAGCACUUUAAGUUGGGAGGAAGGGCAGUAAGUUAAUACCUUGUUGUUUUGACGUUACCAACAGAAUAAGC
Molecule: ribosomal RNA, 468 nt
Filed under: Pseudomonas aeruginosa
Lineage: Bacteria; Pseudomonadati; Pseudomonadota; Gammaproteobacteria; Pseudomonadales; Pseudomonadaceae
Description: bacterial SSU rRNA
Rfam family: Bacterial small subunit ribosomal RNA
Source: RNAcentral